This 511-nucleotide ribosomal RNA is filed under the name uncultured bacterium. RNAcentral describes it as "bacterial SSU rRNA". It matches the Rfam family "Bacterial small subunit ribosomal RNA", at positions 8 to 518 of the family's 1533-position model. The record is from RNAcentral.
AGAGUUUGAUUCUGGCUCAGGAUGAACGCUGGCGGCGUGCCUAAUACAUGCAAGUGAAACGGGUAUCUUCGGAUACCAGUCGCGGACGGGUGAGUAAUACAUAGGCAACCUGCCUUUAUGAGGGGGAUAACCGAGGGAAACUUUGGCUAAUACCGCAUGAAGACUCUAAGGCAUCUUAGAGGGAUAAAGUUGGGAAACAACGCAUGAAGAUGGGCUUAUGGCGCAUUAGCUAGUUGGUGAGAUAGAAGCCCACCAAGGUAAUGAUGCGUAGCCGACCUGAGAGGGUGAACGGCCACAUUGGGACUGAGACACGGCCCAAACUCCUACGGGAGGCAGCAGUAGGGAAUUUUCGGCAAUGGGGGGAACCCUGACCGAGCAACGCCCGCGUGAAGGAAGAAGGUUUUCGGAUUGUAAACUUCUGUUAUAAGGGAAGAACGGAUUGGAUAGGGAAUGAUCUGAUAGUGACGGUACCUUAUUAGAAAGCCACGGCUAACUACGUGCCAGCCGCCGC